GCCAGAGUAGUGUAGUGGUUUCAAUGCUGGACUGAAACUCUGGAGAUCAGGGUUCAAUUCUCCGCUCACUCA
Molecule: non-coding RNA, 72 nt
Organism: Phrynosoma platyrhinos (Desert horned lizard)
Lineage: Eukaryota; Metazoa; Chordata; Lepidosauria; Squamata; Phrynosomatidae
Source: the annotation of a GenBank genome assembly